RNAcentral lists this ribosomal RNA (253 nucleotides) under uncultured bacterium. RNAcentral's name for it is "partial 16S ribosomal RNA". It matches the Rfam family "Bacterial small subunit ribosomal RNA", at positions 524 to 776 of the family's 1533-position model. The record is from RNAcentral.
UACGUAGGGUGCAAGCGUUGUCCGGAAUUAUUGGGCGUAAAGAGUUUGUAGGCGGUUUGUCGCGUCUGCUGUGAAAUUUCGGGGCUCAACCCCGAACCUGCAGUGGGUACGGGCAGGCUAGAGUGUGGUAGGGGAGACUGGAAUUCCUGGUGUAGCGGUGAAAUGCGCAGAUAUCAGGAGGAACACCGAUGGCGAAGGCAGGUCUCUGGGCCAUAACUGACGCUGAGAAGCGAAAGCAUGGGGAGCGAACAGG